GGCCCGGCGGGGAGCAGCGCAGGUAGAUCAGGUGAGGCCCAAGUGGGUAUCGUCACCAGUCGGAGCAGGUACAGCCCCGGUAAGGAUCGUAGUCACCAGCAGCAGGUGAGGCCCAGGUGGGGAAGCACAGGUGGGGAAGCACAGCCAGCAGAAGCAGAUAUGUCCCUGGUGGGAUCAGAGCCAAGGAGGGGCAGGUGAGGCCCAGGUGGGGCCCAUUGCCAGGUAUGCGCAGGUGCGGCCCAGUGGGAGCCACAGCAGCAGGAACAGUUAUGUUCCAGGCGGGGAUCCCGGCCAAGGCUGAGAAGGCAGAACCCAGGGCCAGGCAGGGGCUCCAGUGGAACCCGGGGAAGAUGCUGACCGCUCGCUGUACAAAGUUGCCGACAGGCUACGUUUUCUGCCAUGAGGCAUCAGGAUGCCCCUCCUUCCCAUCUCGGGGCAGGUUUCCUUUUGCAGAAAGACCUCUCUGGAGGCGGGACCCAUCACCCCAGCUCAGGGCCUCGACCCCUGGUGGCCACGGCGGGUCAGGGUCUGCACUGGGCUGGAGCUGAGAGGACUCGGGGAGGCGGCGGGGGCAGGGCUGGGCGCUGGUCCAGGCCUGGGCCUCAGCCGCGUGGCCUCCAUGCCUGGCCCUGGCCUCUGCCUCCGAGGUCAGAGGGAGGCUCAGCCUGGUUAGCAGACUCUGCAGAGCGUGGCCACAGGGUGAGGCGCGCCUGGCCCACAGGUCUCCGAGGCUCUGGCCCGGAGGACAGUGAGAGGUGUGGCCUCAGGCGCUGGAGGGACGGGCAGGGGGAGCAGGCAGGACCGGCCUCAGAAGCUCACGGGAAGGAGACAGACGCAGGCGGAGUUUGCAGCUGAAGACGACCUGACCCCUCGGUCUGGGGCUGGGAGGAGACUCGGGGUAGAAGGCCGGGCCGGGCCACGGUGGGGGAGAGAGGAGAAGACGUGCAUGUACCUGGACGGAGCUGGUCUGCAGCAGGGCUAAGGGUGCUGGGCUCCUGGACGGAGGCGUCCACUCUGGAGCAGGGUGAGGCCCUGGGGAGCGACUCACCUGGACGGUGGCAUCCACUCUGGAGCAGGGUGAGGCCCUGGGGAGUGACUCACCUGGACGGAGGCAUCCACUCUGGAGCAGGUCAGGGGAGCUGCGUAGCCUCAGCACCCAGGGCCUCAGCAUCAGCGGCUGCAGCACCCACUCAGCGAGGAGCCCGAAACCGCAGGCCCGGCUGUACUCCCAGGACCUAAAGCAGAUCGACCUGGGUGGGAACCGCGCCUUCCGAAACCGCAUCAUGUUCCGGGAGCGCUACGGCAUCAAGUGGGUCCCCGGGGCCCCGCGGGGGGAGGCGUGGGCCUGGGUCUGAAGCUGGGAUGGCGGGUGCCCGGCCCCCGGCCUGGCGGUGCCGCCUGAGCCUCGAGGGGGCGCGAGUGGGCACGUGAGGAACGAGGGCGGCGGUGUGGGGCACGGGGCGGGGGGCGCGCGGGGAGAGUGGGGACCGGUCUGGACUGGCUCAACAGGCCCCAGAGGGCCCCGCGGGAGGUGAGGGGCUCCAGGCACCAGAGACCAGGCUGGACCCGAGCCCAGGGGAACGAAUGGAACGAAUGCGGGUCGGCGGGGUCAAAAUGACGCCCCAUCUUGAUGUUUUUAGUUAUAUAUUUCUGCUCUUUUAGACAAUUUCCAUCAUUUAUUUUUUAAAAGUGUGACGAACCCCCAAAUUCCAUCACCCAGGUCCAACACUAGCGACACUGUCCUGUCCUGUGUCCUGCGUUCACCACACACUUGACCAGCACAGGUGUUUUACAGAGAACCCAAGAUGUCUGGCCUCACCCCGUCCCUAGGUUCUCAGUAUGCAUUUUAAAAGAAGGGAUUCUUGGGCUUCCCUGGUGGCGCAGUGGUUGAGAGUCCGCCUGCCGAAGCAGGGGAUGCGGGUUCGUGCCCUGGUCCGG
This is a long non-coding RNA of Aethalodelphis obliquidens (Pacific white-sided dolphin), 1938 nucleotides long. RefSeq lists it as uncharacterized. The record is from RefSeq and is a predicted model, not a curated record. Lineage: Eukaryota; Metazoa; Chordata; Mammalia; Artiodactyla; Delphinidae. The transcript is spliced from 4 exons.